UUGGUGAGGUAAUGGCUUACCAAGGCUAUGAUCUAUAGCUGGUCUGAGAGGACGAUCAGCCACCCUGGAACUGAGAUACGGUCCAGACUCCUACGGGAGGCAGCAGUGGGGAAUAUUGGACAAUGGGCGAAAGCCUGAUCCAGCUAUGCCGCGUGAGUGAAGAAGGCCUUCGGGUUGUAAAACUCUUUCAAUAGGGAAGAUAAUGACGGUACCUAUAGAAGAAGUCCCGGCAAACUCUGUGCCAGCAGCCGCGGUAAUACGGAGGGGGCAAGCGUUGUUCGGAAUUAUUGGGCGUAAAGGGCACGUAGGUGGACUAGUAAGUUAAAAGUGAAAUACCAAAGCUUAACUUUGGAGCGGCUUUUAAUACUGCUAGAC
RNAcentral lists this ribosomal RNA (375 nucleotides) under Ehrlichia canis. RNAcentral's name for it is "bacterial SSU rRNA". It matches the Rfam family "Bacterial small subunit ribosomal RNA", at positions 249 to 641 of the family's 1533-position model. Lineage: Bacteria; Pseudomonadati; Pseudomonadota; Alphaproteobacteria; Rickettsiales; Anaplasmataceae. The record is from RNAcentral.